AGGAUAGAGGUGCGGAAGUCAAGAGUAUCCGGAGUGCAAGGCCGUCGCAGGGCCGUUGCUUCGGAGAAAGGGGCUGCCGCCGAAGGAAAGCAAGCGAAGCUUUUCUGGGCAUGCGGAGAAUAUCCGCCUGACUGUCGCAUUUGCGGAGAGCUAUGGA
Molecule: non-coding RNA, 157 nt
Filed under: human gut metagenome
Description: Lysine riboswitch
Rfam family: Lysine riboswitch aptamer
About the family: Riboswitches are metabolite binding domains within certain messenger RNAs that serve as precision sensors for their corresponding targets. Allosteric rearrangement of mRNA structure is mediated by ligand binding, and this results in modulation of gene expression.
Source: RNAcentral